Molecule: ribosomal RNA, 701 nt
Filed under: uncultured bacterium
Lineage: Bacteria
Description: bacterial SSU rRNA
Rfam family: Bacterial small subunit ribosomal RNA
Source: RNAcentral
AGAGUUUGAUCAUGGCUCAUGAUGAACGCUGGCGGCGUGCCUAACACAUGCAAGUCGAGCGAGAAGGUUAUGAUGGAUUCUUCGGAUGACAGAUUGACUGGAAAGCGGCGGACGGGUGAGUAACGCGUGAGUAACCUGCCCCAUACACAGGGAUAGCCAUUGGAAACGAUGAUUAAUACCUGAUAACACAUAUUUACCACAUGGUAGAAAUGUCAAAGAUUUAUCGGUAUGGGAUGGACUCGCGUCUGAUUAGCUAGUUGGUAAGGUAACGGCUUACCAAGGCGACGAUCAGUAGCCGACCUGAGAGGGUGAUCGGCCACACUGGAACUGAGACACGGUCCAGACUCCUACGGGAGGCAGCAGUGGGGAAUAUUGCACAAUGGGCGCAAGCCUGAUGCAGCAACGCCGCGUGAACGAAGAAGGCCUUCGGGUCGUAAAGUUCUUUUCUUAGGGAAGAAAAAUGACGGUACCUAAGGAAUAAGCACCGGCUAAAUACGUGCCAGCAGCCGCAGUAAUACGUAUGGUGCAAGCGUUAUCCGGAAUCACUGGGCGUAAAGGGUACGUAGGCGGUUUUGCAAGUCAGAAGUGAAAGGCUACGGCUCAACCGUAGUAAGCUUUUGAAACUGCAAGACUAGAGUGCAGGAGAGGUAAGUGGAAUUCCUAGUGUAGAGGUGAAAUUCGUAGAUAUUAGGAGGAACACC